This is a long non-coding RNA of Anguilla anguilla (European eel), 1230 nucleotides long. RefSeq lists it as uncharacterized. The transcript has 2 exons. NCBI's taxonomy places the organism in Eukaryota, Metazoa, Chordata, Actinopteri, Anguilliformes, Anguillidae. The record is from RefSeq and is a predicted model, not a curated record.
AGUAAUCUUACAAGACAUGUGGAAUAUCAGUCUCCGUCAGCCAUCAUGAAGCACUAUGUGAUUAUAACGGUUUCAUAACAGAGGCAAUUCCAUGCUCAGUACCUGGUUAUGCAUGCUUUGUGCAUGGCACCUUUUGUAUUUUCAUUUAAAUCUUUGUUAAGGCUCAUGUUGUCAGUAUUGUUUAGGAGUAUUUGUACUUGGGUGCCAUGCUGGUGCAGUGGGAAAUGCUGUUGCCUCACAGCAAUGGGCUCCAGCCCCCACCCUCCGCCCUCCACGACCCUGACAAGGAGCAAGCGGUUUAGAAAAUGGAUGAAGUAUUUGCAUUGCAGUUCAAAUUUUCUUCAUUAUACUGAUGAGGCAGCAGGGGCCUCUUCUUCAGCGAGUCCCGGGGGGCUGCGGAUGCCGCCCCCCGCGCGCGUUCUGGAAGGAGGACGUCCCGCUGAGAGACAGAGGAGAGCCCGGGAGCCAGGCUGAUCAGCAUGCGACUCGCGGGGGCCUCUCACGGCUCCUUUCAGCACCGCCUUUCAGGAGCGGGGCGGUCCCCAGCGGCCUCCGAGGGGCUUCCUGAAAGGCGUGGCGGGACCUCGGUCGCUCAGGGAGGGGUAUUUCGUCCUCCGGUUGCGUCAGCAUUCGAUUACUUCCUUAUCACAAUGCCGCAGAGCGGGCCUUCUUUGUCUCGACCGGUCCUGUGGGUAACGUCAGUAAAGCCCUGUGGCUAAUCCUGCCGACAACUUUUUUCAUUCUGUCUUUCUUUACUGGAAUGCUGCUUUCAGGAUCGCUGGAUGGAUUCACACACACACGUUUUAUCUUGGAGAGUGAUGGGGAAAAAGCUUGAGUCCCUUGUUUUUUGGUACGGUGUGAAGACAAGUUGCUAGUCACCACUCGGCUGGAAUGCUGUGUAUUUCUCCGCGUUGUCUUGUGCCAGAGUGAAUAACAAAAUGGCUUCAAACUGACCCAUGUCCCCAACCCCCUUAAGGAUGACAGGUGCCAGCAGAACAUUGCCUGUACCUGUAAGAUUUCUGUGUAUAAGAACUUGGGCAUAUGCUGUACAUUUGCUGGUGGGGGAUUAUAAUUCAAAAGACAUGGGGUAUUUGGUAAUGCACAACAUUUCCCUCUCCAUUCUCCCAUAAAAAAUGUGAUGCCGUUCUGGAAACCUGAAAUUCACCAGGGAAUGUACUCCCAUUAAAAAGCAAUCUAAUUCUUAUUUCCUGCCUGUAGGAAAGUAAGGUC